Molecule: small nucleolar RNA, 138 nt
Filed under: Ornithorhynchus anatinus (platypus)
Lineage: Eukaryota; Metazoa; Chordata; Mammalia; Monotremata; Ornithorhynchidae
Source: RNAcentral
CCCCUCUCAGGGUUGCACCUGGAGAGUUUCCAGUACUCUACCAGUCUCGACUACAGGAGGAAGAGUCAAGCAGAGGCCUGUCCAUUCCGUUCCUAGCUUGGCCAGGGGCUAGUGAAUGGAAGGCAAUCUGCUACAAGU